CUUAACUGGACCACAGGAUGCCCAGACUUUUAGCCAAACAUUAUCCUGUGUGUGUCUGGGAGACUGUUUCUGGAUGACAUGGACAUUUGAAUCCAUAGACUGAGUAAAGCAGAUUGCCCUCCCGAAUGGAGGUAGGCCUCAUCUAGUGAGGUGAAGACGUGACUACAAUGAAAAGGCUGAGUAAGAGGGAAUGCGUCCUACCUGACUUGUUUGAGUUGGGAUCAUGGUCUUUCUCAGCCUUCAGACUCGGACUGAAACAGCAGCUCUUCUUGGAUCUCCAGCCUGCCGACUUUCAGCUUGGAACUUAUGCCAUCAGCUCUCAUGGUUCUCAGACCUUCAGACUUGAACUAGAACUACAAACCAGUUUUCCUGGGUCUCCAACUUGUGGACUGCACGUCUUGGGACUUCUCAGCCUCCCUAAUUGUAGAAUGUUGAAUAUACGUUGAAGAUGCAUUUGAAAGAGAAGCUAAUACAUGGAGCAAGAACUGAAAGCAGAAAGAAGAUGGAUCAAGAGGACAGAUGGGGAAUCAAUAAAAAUAUGAAUGGAGAAACUUUGCCCUGAACUGGGAGGCAGAAAAUCUAGGAUCUAGCUCUGGUCCUGUCUGCAGAAAGCGAGGCACACAUCACCAGCAAGGAAGAUGGUGGUUCCAUGAAUAUGAACACACAGAAAAAAAUAAACAGACAUCUGAGGAGCACAUGUGGAAGCCUCUACAGAAGAAAGACUCAACCUAUCCAUGAGAAAGCAAAAUCAAUGGACCAGAUUAAAAUUUGCAAAAUAUCCUUCUCAAAUAAAAAAAUAACAUUGCAAAUAUCAAGCAGUUGAGAAGAUCUCAUUAGAGAUAUCAAGCAUGAAAAACAUAAUAUAGAAAUAAUUUAAUUUCUUAGGGAGAUUGAGAAAAACAGUAUCAAAAAUUAUUUUGAAAAAGUUUAUAUGACUCUAUUGAUUAAAAUUGAGAUUUUAGGAAACAGAUUUUUUUCCUAUUUGGUCAUUGAAUAUAUAUUAAACAGUUCCUCAAACCUUUGUUUAUGACUCAUUCUUUAGCAGAAAGAAAACAGUAGGGCAAUUCUUUGCAAAAAAAUCAUUUUUCAUAAAUAACACCUAUAGUAUAUAAAGACAUACUUUCUGUAUAUACUUUGACACAGAAGUAUGUAGAGGAAAAUUAAAAGUAUCUUUUCAACAUCUCUCUCAACAGUUUGCUUUUCUUUUUCUUUAACAUAAGUAGGAUAACACUAUGUUAUUCUGUAACUUGCUUUUUUCACAUAAAAUAUAUAUUUUGAAUAUAUAAUAUAUAUAUUCUCAUGUCAGAACUUAUACCUCAUUUCUUCUUUUUUAAAAAUGAUUUUUCUUGACUUUCUACUUUAUUUUAAAAAUGUACAUGAUUAUAUGCUCAUUAUAAAAAAAUCAAACAACACACGUGUAUAUAAAGUCAAAAUUUCCUUUCAUCUAUCUAUUCCUUUAUCCUUUUAUCCAUUUACACAUACACCCAUGGAAAAUAUGUGUGUAUGUGUGUGUGUAUUUUCAGUGCUGUGAAUUUAAGGACUGGAAAGACAGAAAAAGAGACUUCCACUCAGAUAGGUAAUGAGAGAAGAAUACAUUGGUUUCCAUUCCACACUGGUAUAUAAAUUUGAACUUUCGUGUUGUAAUUUGAAUAUAAAUGGAAUCAGACUAUGUAUAUGACCCCACAAUUUAUUUUUUCACUAGAUAAUUUUUCUUGGCAACCAUCUCAGGUUAGCAUAUGGAACUAACAUAGUAUUCAUGAAUGAGAAUUCUCAGUUUUACCAUUCCAGCCCAGAUAGCAUCUAAGUCUUUUACCAGAACUAUUUGGAAUUCUAUUAGAUUUAAACUUAUUCUAAAGAUAAAACCACAUGUUUUCUAUAAAGAUUUUUCUGAAUAAACAGUGGUAAUACACAAACAUCCGUCUGGAACAAACAGUAGCAAACUAGAUACAGUAUUUGAGUCUCCCGUUCAUCAGAGUUUAUGGAGUUGAGUGACACUGCGGAUGCAUUCCAUCCCCUGGGCAACUCUUGGCCUUUCCAAAUAUUGCACUUUAAAAACUGGAAUGAAUUAUGAUGAAAUAUCAAGUAAUUAUUAGUCUAAUAAUUUUCUAUAAAAAAUUGGAAGAACGUAUUUAGGAGACUUUCACAAACACAAAGGAGACACAUAUUUAUGGUAACUAUUUAAUUUUAAUAACAGUGCAAUUCAGAAGUAGUCUUCAGGGGCUGGCACCAUGGCCAAGUUGUUAAGUCUGUGCUCUCUGCUUCGGCAGCCCAGGGUUUCACAGGUUUGGAUCCUGGGCGUGGACCUAGCACUGCUCAUCAAGCCAUGCUGAGGUGGUGUCCCACACAGCAGAACUUAAAGGACCUACAACUAGAAUAUACAACUAUGUACUGGGGGGCUUUGGGGAGAAGAAAAAAAAAAGAGGAAGAUCAGUAAUAGAUGUUAGCUCAGGGCCAAUCUUUAAAGAAAAAAAAGAAGUAGUCUUCUUCUUUCUUCCCAUUGUUUUCAUUAAAAUAGCCCAGCUUUUCUUUUGUGGGUUAUGUCUCUGAUUUAGUUUAACUAUAUUAAUAGAACUUACUGGUUUAUAGUAAAAAAAAAAAGAUGCUAUUUUUUCAUAGUUUUUACUACUAUACUCAUGAAAUUUUGUAGAAUCAUUGGAAAAGUCUAGAGACACAAAGUUAUUUCAGUUUGGUUCUUCAAACAUAGGUUUGUAUUCUUUUUAAUCCUGGACAUUAAAUAAGCUCACAUUUUUUGUUAGACUUGUUGACUCUCACCUUAUUUUUAAAAAUCAAAAAUUUUACAGAGAAUCUUUUUCAAUUACAAUUUUUUCUUCAAUUACUUUACAUUUGAAAAUAUGAGAACAAAGAGAAAAAAGCAGAAAGAAAAUAAAAAGACGAGCAAUAAGGAGUUCUGUAUACAGUUCAGAGUGAAUAGUCUCCGGUAAAAACCAAGAAAUACUGCUACCAACUGACAACGGGUUAAACAAACAGUAGUUAAUUCAUCAAAGCUUCAGGUUGCCCUUAUUCAAAACAAAAUAAUUAUUUCCCUCUCUUUGUUCCAAUUGAUUAUUUUUGUAUUGUCUCUUCUGCUAAAUAGGUAUCCUUAUGGAGAGAGUGAAUAUCUUAGUUCCCUUUGUCUCCCCACAAUAGGACACAAAGGGCACCUCUUUGCUUCUCAAUACAUUACUUCUUGAAUUAAUGAAGUACGACAUUCAUGGUUUUUUCUUGGCAUCAUCUCCGGGUUGGGGCAAGAAAACAAACACAAUUUUAGUUUGCAACACUUCUCCCUGCGGUAGUAACAGGAUUUGUGGUUCCACUAAUCUUUUGUGCAUAUCAUGUCCCUGUUGACAUAAAUUCAUUCUCAUCCUGACUUUGCGGGUACCAAUGUCUCUGUUUUAGCAUCAGAAAAAAAAUACUGACAAUCUAACUCUAACUUGCCUUCUUUAUGUCAAGCUUGCCUUUGGAAUAUUGUGUAAUUAUAGCAAUAACCUACAAAAAUGUCAUUUUAUGUUUUUAUGAAGCUUUACGUUAUAAAGCAUUUUCACAUGUAUUAUUUUAUUUUGUCUUAACUACAUUAUAGCAUCACUGCUGUUAAGCAAAAAUAUGAAAAACUUUAAAGUAAGGUAGAAGCUUCAUUACAUGUGCUUUCAGUGUCACACUAGAGCAUUGGGCUCACUCAAGAAUUUUUGAAGUCUCUAGAGCAAUGAACCUCUUUUGGACAUACUCUUUGUUACUGAUCAGAAUCCAAACUCAUUAAAGUUACAUGUUACCUUGUAGAUUUUGUCUGGUAGAGAUGCAAAUAAUUUCUGUCUGGUUGAAAUUAUAACCAAAGCAUAUGGUUUUAUUGUCCUUUGUGAUGUUCUCCACGUUUGUAUCUAGUCUAGAAAUCGAACAUUUUUUGUUCAUUGCAUGUUAAUGCUCAGUUCCUCAAAUGUCCUUUGAAUCAGGUUACCAUCCUGCUUCCCUAACUGACAAGUUAAAUAAAUCUUUCAUGUGUACUUAUUCUUUGUUUGUAUAAUACCUGUGAUUGUUAAUGUUCUUGAAAAAUUUUUCUUUGAUAUUACCAUGCUCAGUCUCAAUUAGCUUCCUUGAGUUGAUCAUGAAG
This 4102-nucleotide long non-coding RNA is filed under the name Equus asinus (donkey). RNAcentral's name for it is "lncRNA (ENSEASG00005028765.1)". The record is from RNAcentral. Lineage: Eukaryota; Metazoa; Chordata; Mammalia; Perissodactyla; Equidae.